This 2553-nucleotide long non-coding RNA is filed under the name Panax ginseng (ginseng). RNAcentral's name for it is "long non-coding RNA (PGIN_LNC016809)". The record is from RNAcentral. Lineage: Eukaryota; Viridiplantae; Streptophyta; Magnoliopsida; Apiales; Araliaceae.
CAAAUAAAAAGCCUACAACUCAACGUAGCAGCUAACAUUGAAUUAAAUGAAUGGAAGAACUUAUGCUUUGAUCUUAUUCUUCUGGGCUCUACUCACUGUGGUCACCCCCACACUUAUUCGCAUGUCUGCCUCCGCAAAACCCUACUUGGAUUUCAACGGUAAGCCUUACCAUACACAAUGAUCAUAUAUAUGCACGUAAACAUAUAUUUUUUGGUUCAAUUAUAUACAUUGACCAUAAUUUAUAUGAUAGCAGGAGGGAUGAAGGGCAGUUUGUUGCCUAGAAGAGCACUGGAAGCCAUGGCAGGUCCCGAAGCACCAGCACCAGCACCAGCACCACGAAUGAACGUAACGUGAUGAUAUCUAAUUGAUGGGGGGCUUGUGCUCGUGUUUUAAACCUCGACUAGUCAUGUAGAUAUGGGACUAGCUAGUAUGCAUGAAAGCACAAGUAUUUGAUCAGGUAAAUUAAUUAAUAGAGAUAUAUACAGUAAACAGAAAGAAGGAAUAAUUUGUUCAUUCAUUCAUUUGAAAAGUUUCUUUAUAAUAAGGAAGUAUUUAUGUGCAUACAUUUUCAUGUAUAAUAUAUUGUUGUUCUUAAUUUGUUUCAACUAUAUAUGUUUUGAUGUUUGACUAAUCCAAUUGGAUUAUUCGUUUAUAUCAUAACAGAUCUCAACGUGACAUCGUUAACACCAUAUUACUUCACGAGAUUGUUGCCUGAUAAAUGCAGUAUAUAUACACAAUGUAAAAAACUGAUGAUUGAAGGCUACAAUCUAGCUAUAGCCGCCGGAAGUACCCUCCGGCGUAUAGGAAUUAGUUAUUGACAUUAACUAAUACGAAUGGCAUAGUAUUGUGUGCUCAGAUAGCAUACUUUAGCCUACGUUCGUUUAUUCCAUAUGUGUGUGUGUGUCAGUGUGUGUGUGUGUAUAUAUAUAUGGGCUUGUGGUGGAGGAUUUCAUUGGAACUUUAGGCCUUACGUAUUGGGUCUAGUCGGUGAUAUUUCCUCAGGCAUUUUGCAUCAACAUAAACCAAAUAACUAUGGCACGGUAUUCUUCUUAAAUGUAGAGCACAAUCUUUUGCUUGUGGGUUUAAACAAUACGCUGAUGCAUGUAUUCACCGUUUGAUGAGAAGAAAUCAUAAUGCAAGUGGCCGGCUAAAUUAUUGCCAGAUCGAGAUCACUCUGCAUUAUUGACGAAUGAUAUAUGAACUUAUAUAUAUAUAAAAUAUGUAAAUCAACAUUAUAUUAUCAAAGCGAUCCGUUUGGUAGCAUAUAUAUAUAAUCCUAACUAAUUAUUUAUGUACACAACAAUUACUAAUAAAUACUUACGUAGAUAAAUAAUUCGAGUGAGAUUAAUUAAACAAGACAGUGUGGGUUGGAAAAGUUCACCCCAGAAGAAUGAGUCAUAAGGAGACUUUUUAGCUCCAAAUAUCAAAUAGCUAGAUAAAAGACUGACAAAUAAAAAUAAAGAGAAAGAUCGAGGGCAUUUUUUGGAUAUAUUAUAAAAUCAUAGUAUCAAUGCAUACCCAAAAAAGUUAUAAUUAAAAAUAUUAUUAAUAGUAGUUUAAAAUUAUAUAGACAUACAAAUUGUUUUGAUAUGAGAAUAGCAUAGCAGAGUAGGUAUUACAAUAUUAACUAAGCAAAACAUUAACCACCAUCAUCACAUUACUUUGAAAUUGCAAUGAACAAAUCCACAUUUGCUAAUGAGUAAUGGGUUUAUGCCUUUGUGGGGAUGAAAUGGCGCAUUCCCUCUAUCAAGUUGGGCCAUUACAUUUCGCUACAACAUCAAAUUAAUACUUGGGAAGUUCUUACAAACCAAUUCAUGAUACCCAACAAUAUAUCAACUUAAUUAAAAUGAUACUCUCAACAUUCCAAAAUUAGAGAUAUAAUUCGAUUUUUGAAUUUGUUAUAAUAUACUAUACAAUUAUAAUAAUUGUAUUAAAUAAAAUUAAAUAAAUUCACAUUAAAUUAAAGUUUAAUAUAUUAUGCGUGCUGUCAUUUGACCUCAAAAGUCAAAUUGUAUAUCUAAUUUGCUGACCUAUGAAAUAAGAAUAUAGAACAAUUCUUAUAUAGAGUGAAUAUUAAAGUUAUGGUAGAUGACUGAAAUAUUGGACCGAAUGUGACCAAUUGAGAAACGUUCAAUAAAUUAAUCCGAUCAAAACAAUAUUCAUUCUAUAACAAACAAACAAACAAACAUAUAGUUCUCACUCACUCUUAUGACAAGUAAUUUUUUAUUUUAAUUUAUAAUAUUUUGAAGUAAGGUGCUAUCAAAAUGAAGAGAAAAAGAACAUCAUUACAUUACAAAAACUAAGGUACAUGAUAAUAGAAUCACUAGAGGAUAUGCCCCCACACUUCAAAAUAUAUAUAUCUUAUUCAUCAUCGAAUUAAUUAAAGCUAAUUAAUAUGAAUUCAUAUAUAAUUGUCAAACAAACUGAUGGAGGUAUUCGUCCACUGUUGUAUAGUUGACAUCAGGAUAAAGCUCUGAAGCUUCAACUCCAAACGAUGGUUCCAUCUCAGAGUUGGUGAAAUCUCCACAAACAAAUAUGGAAUGGUUGAUUGCU